This 41-nucleotide transfer RNA is filed under the name Selaginella pennata. RNAcentral's name for it is "partial tRNA-His". Lineage: Eukaryota; Viridiplantae; Streptophyta; Lycopodiopsida; Selaginellales; Selaginellaceae. The record is from RNAcentral.
GCGGACGUGGCCAAGCGGAUUAAGGCAGGGGAUUGUGAAUC